This is a long non-coding RNA of Drosophila gunungcola (fruit fly), 286 nucleotides long. RefSeq lists it as uncharacterized. Lineage: Eukaryota; Metazoa; Arthropoda; Insecta; Diptera; Drosophilidae. The record is from RefSeq and is a predicted model, not a curated record. The transcript is spliced from 2 exons.
GCAGCGGUUGACCUUUCUGGAGAAUUACCCAUAUGCAAUUUCUAAACACGUUCCUCUUGGCGUGACUAAUCGAUUUUAUGAAGCUUUUAAAAUAAUAAAUGGAUUGGAUCCAGACAACAUGUAAUUCUGUAUAUAAUCUUUCCAUCUUUGACUUCUCACCAACAUUUACAUUCAAGAUGCUGAUUGGUGUUGUGAUUUUCGCUCUUCUUGGCAUGGCAAGCGCUUUGCAGGCAAGUCACUGCGAUGACAAAUUAUCAAAGAAAUAAAUGAAAUAAAAGAAAAAAAA